GCAGUUCCCCCGUGUGCGAGUGGGGCUGGGCGGGGCGGACGUGGGGCAGGUCACUUCGUCUUCCGAGGCUCUGGGGAAGGACCGCUCCGUCUCACGGGUCACUUGGACAGUGGGCGCACCCGAGGGUUGAGGCGUCAUCCUACGGCGGGGUCAGAGGGAAGGCCCCUCCUCUUGUCCCCGCCUGGGACAUCCCGUGGUCUUCUGCUUCCGGUCACUCAGAGUGAGGGGUUGCAGCUUCCGCUUCUCUCUCUUGACCCGGUCGUGCCUGGAGGAAGACGCCGAGGCGGGAGGUUUAAGUAUCCCGGUUUAAGUCUCCUUAGGCGAGGAAGGCUUCUCUUUCUAGCAGGUCCAGAUAUCCUGAGUCUCCCGGAAACUGCAGGAGGGGACAGGACCCGACUUCGAGACUGUAGGGUGGGGUGAGGGGAUGAGGGCCUCCUGACCUGGCUAAGCACCUUGGAGGGAACCCUGGCCACGAGGGAUCCAAGCACCGCUCUGGUUUCCCAGAAGCCUGUGGAUGACUCUCAUCUGGCGGUGGACCUCAGAUGGGGCUCAGCAGUGAAAGAGGGGAAGACAAAAAUCUGGCGAGCGAGCUGCCCGGGCCGAGACUGGCCACUUCAAACAGCCCUUCAAACAAAAGGAGACGACGAAAAGAAAGCCCCACCUGUCUCCAGUGUUUGCUAAAAUAAUAAUAAAUAGAUUUCGUUUAAUAAAUAAUUACAAGAGAUUGUAAA
Molecule: long non-coding RNA, 731 nt
Organism: Homo sapiens (human)
Lineage: Eukaryota; Metazoa; Chordata; Mammalia; Primates; Hominidae
Source: Ensembl